CCUGUUAAAUGUGUGCUGGUUGAACAGUUUUAGCUUAAUGAAAAUACUUGUCCUUGAGCACAAUGUGUGUGUUUUCUCAAUGUAUGUAUCUAUAUCCAGCAUAAUUAUGUGUUGCACUGCCUGCUCCCUCUGCUGGUAGCUGGUAAGAUAAUGGAACCUUAAACUAAUACUAAACUAAAAAUGUGAUGAUGAGAAGAAUUGUAACAUUUACAUGUCUCCACCCUCAAUCUGCCUUUAGUGAUAGCAGAGGAUGGCGAGCAAGUG
Molecule: non-coding RNA, 264 nt
Organism: Pelobates cultripes (western spadefoot toad)
Lineage: Eukaryota; Metazoa; Chordata; Amphibia; Anura; Pelobatidae
Source: the annotation of a GenBank genome assembly